Molecule: transfer RNA, 66 nt
Filed under: Mesaphorura yosii
Lineage: Eukaryota; Metazoa; Arthropoda; Collembola; Poduromorpha; Tullbergiidae
Description: tRNA-Leu
Source: RNAcentral
AUUAUUGUGGCAGAAAAUUGCCAUAGGUUUAAACCCUAUUCAUAAGUCUUUACUUCUUUAAUAAUU